Molecule: long non-coding RNA, 3524 nt
Organism: Paramisgurnus dabryanus
Lineage: Eukaryota; Metazoa; Chordata; Actinopteri; Cypriniformes; Cobitidae
Source: RefSeq, a predicted model, not a curated record
CUUCAGGUUUGGGAGUUUGCAUCACUUAUUUCAACAAUAGGUCGAAGUCCUGUAAUAUGAUUGUAAAGAGAGCGAAACUGUUUGAGGAUAUUUUUCCAAAACUGACUGUAUUGUUUGAAAAUGAUUUAGACAUUAUUUUAAUCAGUUGUAUUAAUUUUUUGAUGGCUGGAGCAGGAACCACAAAACAAAACGCCCGAAAUUGAAAGGUUUUGAUCCCACCAUAUAAAAGAAAAGAAUUAAACUAUCAAGACAUCUACAUGCCAGGAGGAGUACAGAAAACAUCUGCUGAGGUUGCAGCUGUCUUUUCACUUUUCUCAUAUGGUUGACUGACAUCAGAAAAUAAUUAUGGCUUAAUAACUUAAUUCUCAUGGCAUGGUGGUCAUUAUACAAGACUUUGAUGGUUUUAUAUUUUGCCAAUUGAUUUACGUACUUUCAUUUUUCAAAAGAACACUGUGGAACCAACUAAACUGAAUGCUUUUAAGAGCUCAAUUAAAGGCUCACAAAAGACACAUGUCAAAAUUCAGGAGGUUAAAUGUAGGUCCUAAGUGACUCUUACUGUGCUACAUAAUAGGAAAAGAAAAUAGCUGUGAACAGUCAAGGUCUGUGGGAUCUCAUAUCGAGGAAAUAAUAGUAUAGAGGAAACCAGAACCCUUUAAAAAGAGAGUUCUGACAACGGAAGUCCAAAAAGCUUGGCUGUAACAUGAUUCAUGAAGAUUUCAGUUAGUUCCUGGAAGGUCCUAGUUGAGCCAUUUAAAUAGAUUGGGUUAUAGGCAAAGAGCUGUGAUUUUUCUUUAUUAAUAGUCAAGAAAUGCAUUGAUUAACUUUAAUUUACAUUAAAAGGCUGUUCCCAUAGUAUUUUGGAGCAGAGAGGUGGUUGAGUUUCUUGCCAGUGUCUUGCUUUACCUUUCUACUUUGCUACUUUGAGAAGAAAGCUCUGGAGGAAAGACCAAAGUCAAAGUGAGUUUGCAUUUACUUUAGGAUUGGGCAGAGAGAACUUGCUGAUGAAGCUUCUACAUAUUUGCCCAUUUGUUUUGUAUAUUUUAACAUUUUAAAGACAUUAUGAGGCAUGCUUUAUCAUGCAAAUCUGCAGUUUAUGUCAAGGUUAUGGGUAUUAUUCCCAUGACCUUGACACAAACUGAUAAAAUGUACUUUUAAUGCACUGCUAUUCACACUGAUAAAAGCAUCUGCCAAAUGCAAAUGCAUUUAAAUGGUAUUUUCAAUAACCUAACAAAUCCACUUGGUAAUCUGUCAUUAUCAUGUCAUUCAUUUUUCAUUUUCUUGCUGUUCCAAAGAUGAGAAUGUAAUCGAGAGGCAGAUAAAGGCAGAAAUGGGUGCUAAGAUUAAUCUGGCACAACAACAACUUGCCCUCAGUUACUCUACUAUGCUGAUGGGGAAGUGUCCAUAUGGCACUUUUUUAAGAGAAACGUAUGGCUGGUGUCAGGUCAGAACAGCUACGAAUACCAUGCCUAUAAGAGUGCUUUUAAUUUAUGUUCAUCUCUGCUGAGUAAUAGAUGCAAUCGAUAGAAAUAUGGCUGAUAAAUAAUGAGUCUGAUUUAUGUAAACCGGAGUGGAGUGUCAUACAUUCACAUUACAGACAGUAAUUUAUAAGCCAUGGUAGUUGUUAUAUGGAGCAAUGGCUCAGACUUCAAAGUCAAAAGGUCAAUUACAAAAAAGCUGCUUUUUUGUGUGGUAAGAUCACUAAUGCCCCACGAUUGGUCACAUAAGAUCAUUGUGUGUUUAAGGAACUGUGACCUUUUAACAUUGGAGAUGGUCAUUAACUUCUAAUAGCCUAGACUUGAAGGUAUUUGUCCACACAGAAAUUAACUUUCAAAAAUAAACCUAUGCAAAAUAUUUAUACUAGGUGUGACAGCAUGCCCCAUUCUCCUGUAUAUGUAUGGAUAAAAUUACCUUUCUAUAUUUAGGGGAAUGUUAGUAGGCACCACCUGCCUCAUACAAGAGGUUCAUAUGUCUUCUUUAUCAUAUGAUCCGUGCGUUUUCUGUCUCUCAGUGUCUUCAUAGCUUUGGCUGUUUUGCUGCAUGGGUGACCUUUGAGAAGCAGGACCUGGAGGGAAUCCAGAUUGAAUUGGAAGAAUCUGAUGAAAAGAAAUCAGAAAAAUCAGUCAAAAUCAGGGUCAAUCUAAGGUUAUGUGCUCCAGACUAAGGGCACUGAAUGACAGGUCAACAGGAAGUCAAACCGGCGCCCACCACUGAAGAGUUUCUUGACCCAUAGUUCCCCUCUGAUGGCCUCUCUGCUGCCCCCCUUUAAGAAAAGUCAUCUCACCUGUUUGGGAACUUCAGAUGUCUUAAACAGGUUUAAUGUCACAAAAAUACUGUAGUGUGACUCUGACAGAGGACCUGGACCAGCAACUAGCGUCUCCUUGCUAUUGCAUGGUUGCAUUGCUAAAAAGUUUCACUUUUACUUUCAAGCAUUUCAUAUUUGCUAGAUAUUCUUAAACUGAAAUUCAGCUUUAUCUCUCUGAUCUACGAGAUAACAGAAUGUAAAUCUAAUAACUGACAUUUGUCUACUUUGUUUCUUUGUGUUUUUUAUCUGUCGUUUCGGUCUUUCACUAUUUGCCAAAUGUUUGGACACAUUUUUUUCUGUAUGCUCUUUUUCUAAUCAUUAUUCACUACAUAUACUGUAAAUCAUUUAUUGUAAACAAUUAUAUAAUACAACUGAGCAUGUGAAAAAAUAGGUAAUUAAUAUUUGGCUCCCUUUGUGAUGUCAGAAAGGGAUAAUACCCGCCUUAAUCUGCACUAUCCGACCACAGCACUAUCCGACCACAGCACAUUACUGGGUAUUGCUGGCAUCUAGCUGCCAGUAACUUUACUGUAGAUUUUACAUUUAUGUUGUUUACUGGCAACAGUUAUUUUAAAGUUAAAUGAACAUGAAACAUUUUCAGUCUUUAUCUUCUACAGUAUGUUACUGGCAACCAGCUGCAUAAUUAUAGCAAUUUUUGUACAGUGUGCUAAAUCAGUUUCUUUUUACCUUUUAGCUUUGGAAUUCGUGGAAAGCUUUGAGUCACUUCAGCCAAGCCUGAUGCUUAAGGAAAGUCAGGGUAAAGCAUAAAUGGAGGAUGAUGAAGACAAGGGUGAAAACAGCUCUGUUGCAAACAAUGACUUGCAUCUACAAAUAUCAAGUAGCAAAACCUCUGUCACAACCCAAAGAUCGAUGACCACAGACACGCACAGUAACUCUAGUCGAAUUGGUCUCCAGAGUGAGGCAGUGACCUCAGACACAGAAUGAUUAACCUAAAUACUUGUGUGUUAAAGUCGUUUACUUAAAACCAAUGCAUUGAACAAUCUUGUGGUUUUUAUCGUGUGAUUUUCAUUCAGUUAUUAAUUUUGUUGCCCUAGUUAUUGUGUGGUAUGCUAUGCAAUGUGGUGAUGAGGAUAUAAAGUGAAAAAGUUAAUAACUAGAUAACAUUUUUGUCACAUCAAUGCCACAUUAAAUAUUUGACUUGAAUUUAUUUCUACAAUUUAUUUUACAAUUUCAUUUUUUUCUUCAUUUAUGUAUGUAUGUAUGU